Molecule: long non-coding RNA, 120 nt
Organism: Alosa sapidissima (American shad)
Lineage: Eukaryota; Metazoa; Chordata; Actinopteri; Clupeiformes; Clupeidae
Exons: 3
Source: RefSeq, a predicted model, not a curated record
UUUCACAGCAAAAAAUUAUAUAUGCGAUUAACUUAGAUUAAUUAAUCACAGAGUAUGUAAUUAAUUAGAUUAAUUGUUUUAAUGGAUUGACAGCCCUACACAUAAACACACACACAAGCA